Molecule: long non-coding RNA, 518 nt
Filed under: Mytilus galloprovincialis (Mediterranean mussel)
Lineage: Eukaryota; Metazoa; Mollusca; Bivalvia; Mytilida; Mytilidae
Source: RNAcentral
GACUGAGGGCCCUCAUGGGGUUUUUGAUUAUGUGAUUACUUGGCCGUUUUUUUAAUGAUUAUUUGAUUAUUAAGCCAAAUAUUUCAUGAUUAUUUGAUUACCUAGGACUGUAUUUUUAGUUUAUGAUUAUUUGAUUACUAAAGAUAAGCAAAUAUUUAAUGAUUAUGUGAUUAUAUUGGCAAAAAAAUGGUGAUUAUGUGAUUACUAGGACCCCCCCAUGAGGGGCCUCAUGUCUGUAAUAUUUUUUCUGUCUAUGAAGAAAUAACAUAAAAAAUUUGGUGCACACUGAAUAAUGCGCGUAGCGGGUUAUUUAACAGUGUGCACCACAUUUUUUAUGUUAUUUCGAAUAGACAGAAAAAAUAUUACAGUCAUUUCUUAUAAUUUAAUUCUAAAUUCCAUUUUAAACCGUAGAAAACCAUGAAAAAACGUUGAUGACGUCACGGUCACAUGACUAAAUUAUGUAUAUGGGCUCAUAACAAAAUAAUGUCAGCCAAUCAGAACACGCGUUACAUCCAAAA